This 497-nucleotide ribosomal RNA is filed under the name uncultured bacterium. Its description in RNAcentral is "partial 16S ribosomal RNA". It matches the Rfam family "Bacterial small subunit ribosomal RNA", at positions 28 to 507 of the family's 1533-position model. The record is from RNAcentral.
GAUGAACGCUGGCGGCGUGCCUAAUACAUGCAAGUCGAGCGAACAGAUGAGGAGCUUGCUCCUCUGACGUUAGCGGCGGACGGGUGAGUAACACGUGGAUAACCUACCUAUAAGACUGGGAUAACUUCGGGAAACCGGAGCUAAUACCGGAUAAUAUAUUGAACCGCAUGGUUCAAUAGUGAAAAACGGUUUUGCUGUCACUUAUAGAUGGAUCCGCGCCGCAUUAGCUAGUUGGUAAGGUAACGGCUUACCAAGGCAACGAUGCGUAGCCGACCUGAGAGGGUGAUCGGCCACACCGGAACUGAGACACGGUCCAGACUCCUACGGGAGGCAGCAGUAGGGAAUCUUCCGCAAUGGGCGAAAGCCUGACGGAGCAACGCCGCGUGAGUGAUGAAGGUCUUCGGAUCGUAAAACUCUGUUAUUAGGGAAGAACAAAUGUGUAAGUAACUAUGCACGUCUUGACGGUACCUAAUCAGAAAGCCACGGCUAACUACGUG